Molecule: long non-coding RNA, 371 nt
Organism: Anthonomus grandis grandis
Lineage: Eukaryota; Metazoa; Arthropoda; Insecta; Coleoptera; Curculionidae
Exons: 3
Source: RefSeq, a predicted model, not a curated record
GAAAUUUGGAAAACUGUUAUAUCUAACAAUAUAACCACAUAUUUAUUAGUUGUAUUUUGUUUUGUGUUGUUAGAACAGUUGUAUUUUGUUUUAUAACAGUUUCGUAAUAAGAGUUCAGUUGCUGUAAAAUGGCUUUUCGUAACCGGACAAAUCUCAUAAUGAUGAAUGCCAGCCUUAGUACUUCAAAUGAGGGUAUUAGUGAAAACAAUUUAAAUAAUAAUAACAUGCCUACAGAGAGUAUUGCUGAGAUAGUUGAACCCAUUAACCAAAAUGAGGAUUUAGAAUCUGCUCUUAGUGAGGAGGUGAAUUAUAACAUUACAGAUUACUUGACAGGAGAAGUUCUAGAAAAGGACACUAAUAAAGAGAAUCAA